AAUCAACGCUGGCGGCGUGCCUAACACAUGCAAGUCGCACGAGAAAGGGACUUCGGUCCUGAGUACAGUGGCGCACGGGUGAGUAACACGUGAAUAAUCUACCUCCGAGUGGGGAAUAACUGAGAGAAAUCUUAGCUAAUACCGCAUAACACUUACGAGUCAAAGCAGCAAUGCGCUUGGAGAGGAGUUCGCGGCAGAUUAGUUAGUUGGCAGGGUAAUGGCCUACCAAGACGAUGAUCUGUAUCCGGCCUGAGAGGGCGCACGGACACACUGGAACUGAAACACGGUCCAGACUCCUACGGGAGGCAGCAGUGGGGAAUUUUGCGCAAUGGGGGAAACCCUGACGCAGCAACGCCGCGUGGAGGAUGAAAUCCCUUGGGAUGUAAACUCCUUCGAUCGGGAAGAUAAUGACGGUACCGAGAGAAGAAGCCCCGGCUAACUU
This 442-nucleotide ribosomal RNA is filed under the name uncultured bacterium. RNAcentral describes it as "bacterial SSU rRNA". It matches the Rfam family "Bacterial small subunit ribosomal RNA", at positions 32 to 503 of the family's 1533-position model. The record is from RNAcentral.